RNAcentral lists this ribosomal RNA (253 nucleotides) under uncultured bacterium. RNAcentral's name for it is "partial 16S ribosomal RNA". It matches the Rfam family "Bacterial small subunit ribosomal RNA", at positions 524 to 776 of the family's 1533-position model. The record is from RNAcentral.
CACGUAGGGCGCAAGCGUUGUCCGGAAUUAUUGGGCGUAAAGAGCUCGUAGGCGGUCUGUCGCGUCGGAUGUGAAAGCCCGGGGCUUAACCCCGGGUCUGCAUUCGAUACGGGCAGACUAGAGUGUGGUAGGGGAGAUCGGAAUUCCUGGUGUAGCGGUGAAAUGCGCAGAUAUCAGGAGGAACACCGGUGGCGAAGGCGGAUCUCUGGGCCAUUACUGACGCUGAGGAGCGAAAGCGUGGGGAGCGAACAGG